UGACAGAAGAGGUGGGAUUGUAACUGCUGGGUUGAGAAGAAUCAUUAGGGCGUAUGACAAAUGCCAAGGAGUAAAGCAGCAAGAUCUAAGGAAAGCAACUGAUGGGGUUAGCUGUGGUCACCGGCUAGUCACAGCAAUUAAGCGCUGGGCCUCUUCACCGUGAUAGAAAAUAAAAAUCUAAUGUAAAAGCAGGACAUCAGAACCUGGAGGUAGUGUCAUGGUCCGUGGUCCUGUGUCUGUGGAAUGCGUGAUGCUCGGGUAGCCACACCCCCGGGCUGGGCCAUCACCAGCACACCUGCUCUCCAUCCCGGUGAUUACACGGAGAUCCACUUAAUCCGGCGCUGACGGAUGCUCCACGCCAGUCCGUAGUCAUCCCCACAGUGGUAACCAGACUUCCACGAAAAGUGUGCAUUCUCUUCUGCUUGGAACUUUGUUUAACCUGCCUACUUCUGUCAAGGUUUCUACUCGGCGUCUGCUACCUGCCUGUCCUCCGGCUCAACUGGAUCUCGCGGUGCUCACCUGGCCCACUCGCCAUUCCACGGACUUCCUGCCCCCACGGACUGCCACACUUCCCUCCCGAGCUCCCACGGUUCCGUUCUAUCCCCCCCGCCGUCCCGAUCCCGGCUUCCUCGUGUCAUUGUUUCCCCGGAUUUUUAGUUUCUGUUUUGCUCUCUACUUUCCCCGGGUCGCCUUUCGUUGUUUUAAUAAAGUGUCUUUUUGUUA
Astatotilapia calliptera (eastern happy) is the source of this 723-nucleotide long non-coding RNA. NCBI's taxonomy places the organism in Eukaryota, Metazoa, Chordata, Actinopteri, Cichliformes, Cichlidae. The record is from Ensembl.